This 334-nucleotide unclassified non-coding RNA is filed under the name soil metagenome. Its description in RNAcentral is "partial contains 5.8S ribosomal RNA, internal transcribed spacer 2, and large subunit ribosomal RNA". The stretch from base 1 to 120 matches the Rfam family "5.8S ribosomal RNA", at positions 35 to 154 of the family's 154-position model. The record is from RNAcentral.
GAUGAAGAACGCAGCGAAAUGCGAUACGUAAUGUGAAUUGCAGAAUUCAGUGAAUCAUCGAAUCUUUGAACGCACAUUGCGCCCGCCAGCACUCUGGCGGGCAUGCCUGUUCGAGCGUCAUUUCAACCAUCAAGCCCCCGGCUUGUGUUGGGGACCUGCGGCUGCCGCAGGCCCUGAAAUGCAGUGGCGGGCUCGCUGUCACUCCGAGCGUAGUAGUUACAUCUCGCUCUGGGCGUGCUGCGGGUUCCGGCCGUUAAAAGCCUUAUUUACCCAAGGUUGACCUCGGAUCAGGUAGGAAGACCCGCUGAACUUAAGCAUAUCAAUAAGCGGAGGA